RNAcentral lists this ribosomal RNA (458 nucleotides) under uncultured bacterium. RNAcentral describes it as "partial 16S ribosomal RNA". It matches the Rfam family "Bacterial small subunit ribosomal RNA", at positions 338 to 795 of the family's 1533-position model. The record is from RNAcentral.
CCUACGGGGGGUAGCAGUGAGGAAUAUUGGUCAAUGGGCGAGAGCCUGAACCCGCCAAGUCGCGUGAGGGAGUACUGCCCUAUGGGUUGUAAACCUCUUUUGUCGGGGAGCAAAAGCCGGACGUGUCCGGCUGUGAGAGUACCCGAAGAAAAAGCAUCGGCUAACUCCGUGCCAGCCGCCGCGGUAAUACGGAGGAUGCGAGCGUUAUCCGGAUUUAUUGGGUUAAAAGGGUGCGCAGGAGGAUUUUUAAGUCAGCGGUCAAAUUGUGGGGCUCAAACCCAUCCAGCCGUUGAAACUGGGGAUCUAGAGUGGGCUAGAGGUAUGCGGAAUGCGUGGUGUAGCGGUGAAAUGCAUAGAUAUCACGCAGAACCCCGAUUGCGAAGGCAGCAUACCGGUGCACAACUGACGCUCAGGCACGAAAGCGUGGGUAUCGAACAGGAUUAGAUACCCGAGUAGUC